AGCAGCCGCGGUAAUUCCAGCUCCAAUAGCGUAUAUUAAAGUUGCUGCAGUUAAAAAGCUCGUAGUUGAAUUUCGGGACCAAUAUGUCGGUCGUGCCUCGGUACGUACUGGCAUCGUUGGUUUCUCCCUUCUAACGAACCAUGAUGUCAUUUAUUUGGUGUCGUGGGGAAUCAGGACUGUUACUUUGAAAAAAUUAGAGUGUUUAAAGCAGGCUCACGCUUGAAUACAUUAGCAUGGAAUAAUGAAAUAGGACGUUUGAUUCUAUUUUGUUGGUUUCUAGGAUCGACGUAAUGAUUAAUAGGGAUAGUUGGGGGCAUUAGUAUUCAAUUGUCAGAGGUGAAAUUCUUGGAUUUAUUGAAGACUAACUACUGCGAAAGCAUUUGCCAAGGAUGUUUUCAUUAAUCAAGAACGAAAGUUAGGGGAUCGAAGACGAUCAGAUACCGUCGUAGUCUUAACCAUAAACUAUGCCGACUAGGGAUCGGAUGAUGUUAAUUUUUAAUGACUCAUUCGGCGCCUUACG
This 520-nucleotide ribosomal RNA is filed under the name uncultured Glomus. Its description in RNAcentral is "SSU rRNA". It matches the Rfam family "Eukaryotic small subunit ribosomal RNA", at positions 569 to 1092 of the family's 1831-position model. The record is from RNAcentral. Lineage: Eukaryota; Fungi; Glomeromycota; Glomeromycetes; Glomerales; Glomeraceae.